AUGAGCCUAAAACGCCUGCGCUUCUGGAUCAUGUUUAGAGUGGAUUGUGUUCACCAACAAUGUUUUCUGGAAGUAUUCCUGAGCCCAUGUUGGGAUUUCCAUUAUAGUAGCAUUCCUGUAUGUGAUGCAAUGCCGUCUAAGGGCCCAAAGAUCACGGGCAUCCAGUAUGGUUUUCCGGCCUUGACCCUUACGCACAGAGAUUGUUCCAGAUUCUUUGAAUCUUUGGAUGAUAUUAUGCACUGUAGAUGAUGAUAACUUCAAACUCUUUGCAAUUUUUCUCUGAGAAACUCCUUUCUGAUAUUGCUCCACUAUUUUUCGCCGCAGCAUUGGGGGAAUUGGUGAUCCUCUGCCCAUCUUGACUUCUGAGAGACACUGCCACUCUGAGAGGCUCUUUCUAUACCCAAUCAUGUUGCCAAUUGACCUAAUAAGUUGCAAAUUGGUCCUCCAGCUGUUCCUUAUAUGUACAUUUAACUUUUCCGGCCUCUUAUUGCUACCUGUCCCAACUUUUUGGAAUGUGUAGCUCUCAUGAAAUCCAAAAUGAGCCAAUAUUUGGCAUGACAUUUCAAAAUGUCUCACUUUCAACAUUUGAUAUGUUAUCUAUAUUCUAUUGUGAAUAAUAUAUAAGUUUAUGAGAUUUGUAAAUUAUUAUUCAGACCCCCUUAAAUUUUCCACUCUUUGUUAUAUUGCAGCUAUUUGCUAAAAUCAUUUAAGUUCAUUUUUUUUUCCUCAUUAAUGUACACACAGCACCCCAUAUUGACAGGAAAACACAGAAUUGUUGACAUUUUUGCACAUUUAUUAAAAAAGAAAAACUUAAAUAUCACAUGGUCCUAAGUAUUCAGACCCUUUGCUCAGUAUUUAGUAGAAGCACCGUUUUGAUCUAAUACAGCCAUGAGUCUUUUUGGGAAAGAUGCAACAAGUUUUUCACACUUGGAUUCGGGGAUCCUCUGCCAUUCCUCCUUGCAGAUCCUCUCCAUUUCUGUCAGGUUGGAUGGUAAACGCUGGUGGACAGCCAUUUUCAGGUCUGUCCAGAGAUGCUCAAUUGGGUUUAAGUCAGGGCUCUGGCUGGGCCAUUCAAGAACAGUCAAGGAGUCGUUGUGAAGCCACUCCUUCGUUAUUUUAGCUGUGUGCUUAGGGUCAUUGUCUUGUUGGAAGGUGAACCUUCGGCCCAGUCUGAGGUCCUGAGCACUCUGGAGAAGGUUUUCGUCCAGGAUAUCCUUGUACUUGGCCGCAUUCAUCUUUCCUUCGAUUGCAACCAGUCGUCCUGUCCCUGCAGCUGAAAAACACCCCCACAGCAUGAUGCUGCCACCACCAUGCUUCACUGUUGAGACUGUAUUGGACAGGUGAUGAGCAGUGCCUGGUUUUCUCCACACAUACCGCUUAGAAUUAAGGCCAAAAAGUUCUAUCUUGGUCUCAUCAGACCAGAGAAUCUUAUUUCUCACCAUCUUGGAGUCCUUCAAGGUGUUUUUUCAUGUGUCUUGCACUGAGGAGAGGCUUCCAUCGGGCCACUCUGCCAUAAAGCCCCG
Long non-coding RNA from Cyprinus carpio carpio, 1523 nucleotides. Lineage: Eukaryota; Metazoa; Chordata; Actinopteri; Cypriniformes; Cyprinidae. The record is from Ensembl.